This 433-nucleotide ribosomal RNA is filed under the name uncultured bacterium. Its description in RNAcentral is "partial 16S ribosomal RNA". It matches the Rfam family "Bacterial small subunit ribosomal RNA", at positions 28 to 507 of the family's 1533-position model. The record is from RNAcentral.
GGCGAACGCUGGCGGCAGGCCUAACACAUGCCAGUCGAACGAACUCUUCGGAGUUAGUGGCGGACGGGUGAGUAACACGUGGGAACGUUCCUUUUGGUUCGGCAUAACUCAGGGAAACUUGUGCUAAUACCGAAUGUGCCCUUCGGGGGAAAGAUUUAUCGCCAAUAGAGCGGUCCGCGUCUGAUUAGCUAGUUGGUGAGGUAACGGCUCACCAAGGCGACGAUCAGUAGCUGGUCUGAGAGGAUGACCAGCCACACUGGGACUGAGACACGGCCCAGACUCCCACGGGGGGCAGCAGUGGGGAAUCUUGCGCAAUGGGCGAAAGCCUGACGCAGCCAUGCCGCGUGAAUGAGGAAGGUCUUAGGAUUGUAAAAUUCUUUCGCCGGGGACGAUAAUGACGGUACCCGGAGAAGAAGCCCCGGCUAACUUCGUG